Molecule: ribosomal RNA, 441 nt
Filed under: uncultured bacterium
Lineage: Bacteria
Description: partial 16S ribosomal RNA
Rfam family: Bacterial small subunit ribosomal RNA
Source: RNAcentral
CCUACGGGUGGCAGCAGUGGGGAAUAUUGCACAUUGGGGGAAACCCUGAUGCAGCCACGCCGCGUGAAGGAAGAAGGCUUUCGGGUUGUAAACUACUGUUCUUAGUGAAGAAGAAUGACGGUAGCUAAGGAGCAAGCCACGGCUAACUACGUGACAGCAGCCGCGGUAAUACGUAGGUGGCAAGCGUUGUCCGGAAUCACUGGGUGUAAAGGGAGCGCAGGCGGGAAGCCAAGUCAGCUGUGAAAACUACGGGCUUAACUUGUAGACUGCAGUUGAAACUGGUUUGCUUGAGUGAAGUAGAGGUUGGCGGAAUUCCGGGUGUAGCGGUGAAAUGCGUAGAGAUUCGGAGGAACACCGGUGGCGAAGGCGGCCAACUGGGCGUUAACUGACGCUGAGGCUCGAAAGUGUGGGGAGCAAACAGGAUUAGAUACCCGGGUAGUC